UCCCGUCCCCUUCAGGUUGACCGAAACUUGCAGCAACCCACGUUUGCUUAAUUCCAGCUCUUCCACCGCUGGAAAGUAUAAGAAGUUGUUCAAGCUGUUGUUCGACCCCCGGUCGCCGCUUUAUCACCACCGGAGCGGAUUUCCCCCACCCGGUAGUGAGUGUGCACCAGUUUGUGUUACCUGAACCCACGACGAAACAGACGAAGGGCCGACCCCAAAACAAUGAAUAUGUUUUCCAGUCGCUUGGUUUCGGUGCUCUUCGUGUUCGCGUCCACAGCGACAGGUGUAAGUGGCUUUUCAGUUACCACUUCCAAUGCAAACGUGCAAGUUAAAGAAAAUGAAGGGGUUGAUCUUGCAUGCUCUUAUUCUGCGGACUUUGGUUCAAGUGCGAGGGUGGAGUGGAAGUUCAAGGACCUUACAGGGUCACAGAAAUAUGUCUAUUAUGAUGGGAAACCCACAGCACCAUAUUCCAACCGUGUCACGAUUUAUGGCAGCAAUCUGAGAUUCAGCAAGGUGACCCGUAACGAUAAUGGAGUGUACGACUGUGAGGUGUCUGGUGUCAAUAGCCAGUUUGGGGAGGCCAGGGUGAAACUCACAGUUCUUGUACCUCCGUCACCACCCUUGUGUAGGAUCCCCACCUCAGUGACAACUGGCAAGAGUACUAUCCUGUCCUGCCACGAUGGGGACGGCUCACCCCCUCCCCAGUACAAGUGGUACCGAAACGACGUCCUCCUGCCACCUGAGCCCAGCAAGAUUUCCGGCUUCCAGAACAGUACCUAUAUGCUGAACUCUGCGAAUGGCAACCUGGAGUUUCCCUCUGUCAAAAAGAUGGAUACGGCACAGUACUCCUGUGAGGCUUUCAACAUUGCUGGUCCUCCUCAGCGCUGUAGAGCUGUGAAAAUGGAAGUCCGUGACAUGAACACCGGAGGCAUUGUUGCUGGGGUAAUUGUGGCUCUGCUGUUGCUUGUCCUGCUCGCUCUGGGAAUUUGGUAUGCUCACAAGAAAGGAUACCUGCCUCGAAUGACUGAAAGGUAAGAAUAUUUCCUUUUUUUUUUAUUAUUAUUAGACAAUGGAUUACAUCAGACAAUCAAUUUCCACAGUACCUAAACUGAUGUGUAAAUUUUUCCCCAAAGAGUAUGAAUGUAAAUUGAUUUUAGUCUCUGAAAUGUCUUGCAGCAAGCAAAAAACCAACGUGGUGUACCAGCCACCUUUGGUGUAUGGUGGUGAGGAUGAUGAUGAUAGCGAGUUCAAGCAGAAGUCAUCGUUUGUGGUGUAGUCUGCAAGCACCAGGCCUUGCUGGUUUUAAUUGUUUGAGUGUGCUUUUGCUGUUUUUACAUGCCAUCUUCACACUUUUUGUAUUAUAUGGUACAUCCUGUUCUGUUUUUACCUUCUGUAAAUAUAGCAUUUUUCGUUCAUGCUGUUUGUAAAAUCAGUCCUUCUUACCCGCCUUUUGUGUGACAGCCAGACUUUGUAAUAUUUUAGAUUAACAUUGCAUUUAAAUUACUGUACAAUUUCUUGCAGAAAUAAAUUUGUUACGUUCUCAAA
RNA transcript from Phyllopteryx taeniolatus (common seadragon), 1545 nucleotides. It is a transcript of the gene named F11 receptor, tandem duplicate 1, with no coding region annotated. The record is from RefSeq and is a predicted model, not a curated record. NCBI's taxonomy places the organism in Eukaryota, Metazoa, Chordata, Actinopteri, Syngnathiformes, Syngnathidae. The transcript has 10 exons.